This 248-nucleotide ribosomal RNA is filed under the name uncultured bacterium. RNAcentral describes it as "partial 16S ribosomal RNA". It matches the Rfam family "Bacterial small subunit ribosomal RNA", at positions 796 to 1041 of the family's 1533-position model. RNAcentral also lists the same sequence under 1 other name. The record is from RNAcentral.
CACGCCCUAAACGAUGUCAACUGGUUGUUGGGGGAUUUAUUCUCUUAGUAACGAAGCUAACGCGUGAAGUUGACCGCCUGGGGAGUACGGUCGCAAGAUUAAAACUCAAAGGAAUUGACGGGGGCCCGCACAAGCGGUGGAUGAUGUGGAUUAAUUCGAUGCAACGCGAAAAACCUUACCUACGCUUGACAUGUCCGAAAUCCCCGAGAGAUUGGGGAGUGCUCGAAAGAGAAUCGGAACACAGGUGC